This 1141-nucleotide ribosomal RNA is filed under the name human gut metagenome. RNAcentral describes it as "bacterial LSU rRNA". It matches the Rfam family "Bacterial large subunit ribosomal RNA", at positions 1346 to 2509 of the family's 2925-position model. The record is from RNAcentral.
CAAGGUUUCCUGAUCAACGCUAAUCGGAUCAGGGUUAGUCGGGUCCUAAGGGUAAGCCGAACGGUGAUCUCGAUGGACAAUCGGUUAAUAUUCCGAUACUAACAUAUACCUCGAUGGAGAGACGAAGGAACGUAAGUGACGCCGCCUGACGGAAUAGGUGGUUAAAGGGCGUAGGUAUAGGGACAGAUUAAGAGUUAGUCCUUGCUGAAACCCGACAGUACGGAGCGGCUACGGCCAAUCUGAUAGUUCACCCAAGUCGACUUCCGAGAAAAUCUUCUAAGUUAUAGUAUAUGUCACCCGUACCGUAAACCGACACAGGUGGUCGAGGAGAGUAUCCUAAGGUGCUCGAGUGAAUCACGGUUAAGGAACUAGGCAAAUUAACCCCGUAACUUCGGGAAAAGGGGUCCCAUCGCGAGGUGGGCGCAGCGAAGAGGUCCAGGCGACUGUUUAUCAAAAACACAGGGCUCUGCAAAUUCGAAAGAAGACGUAUAGGGCCUGACACCUGCCCGGUGCUGGAAGGUUAAGAGGGGAUGUCAUCGCAAGAGAAGCAUUGAAUCGAAGCCCCAGUAAACGGCGGCCGUAACUAUAACGGUCCUAAGGUAGCGAAAUUCCUUGUCGGGUAAGUUCCGACCUGCACGAAUGGUGUAACGAUCUGGACACUGUCUCAACCGUGAGCUCGGUGAAAUUGUAGUCCCGGUGAUGAUGCCGGGUACCCGCAACGGGACGAAAAGACCCCGUGAACCUUUACUAUAGCUUAACGCUGAAUUUGGGUACACAAUGUGUAGGAUAGGCAGGAGACUACGAAGCGGGCACGCCAGUGUUCGUGGAGUCGACGUUGAAAUACUGCCCUUUGUGUACUUGAGUUCUAACCCUCGAGAGGGGACACCGUUUGGUGGGUAGUUUGACUGGGGUGGUCGCCUCCAAAAGAGUAACGGAGGCUUCCCAAGGUACCCUCAGCACGAAUGGUAACCGUGCGUAGAGUGCAAUAGCAUAAGGGUGCUUGACUGUGAGACCAACAAGUCGAUCAGGUGCGAAAGCAGGGUAUAGUGAUCCGGUGGUUCUGCGUGGACUGGCCAUCGCUCAAAGGAUAAAAGGUACUCCGGGGAUAACAGGCUGAUCGCCGCCAAGAGCUCAUAUCGAC